This is a long non-coding RNA of Tigriopus californicus, 726 nucleotides long. RefSeq lists it as uncharacterized. NCBI's taxonomy places the organism in Eukaryota, Metazoa, Arthropoda, Copepoda, Harpacticoida, Harpacticidae. The record is from RefSeq and is a predicted model, not a curated record. The transcript has 2 exons.
CUCACUCACUCACUCACUCACUCACUCACUCACUCACUCACUCUCAAUGGCAAACCGAACGAACUCACAGAUGUACCGGAAUACCCUCAUGAAAGUUCCCACUCUGACAAUCCAAUGACACGAAACAACAACACCAAAAGAUAGCAUUUUCUGUAAAUGCUAUCAAUACUCGCACGUCGUGAGUUUGCGUGCGUGCGAAACAACAGUAUUAGUGCAGGUCAAUGGGCAGUGUUGGGCAUAUCCCCAUCACCCGAUUUCACAUCUAUGAGUAUAAAGGUUCUUCUUCUGCCAUUCUCGUUCCUUACAGCAGUCUUUGUUGUGUGUGCCCUGCUUUUGAGAGGGGGAGCGUCAAAAUCAGCUGGUCUUUAACUAAUGGUCUUCUCUUCGAAAAGAUGAGGAAUGUGAAGGAAUGGGUCCCACUGAGCAGAAGCUAGACUGCAGUAAAGGCCAGAGGAGAAACAUGAACGGAAUAUCGACGAACAUCCUAAAGUCAGAUCAGUGGUGCUCCAUCUUGAGUUCUGCGACAUCAUUGUACAUACCUGGGGAACAACUAGCCUAUCUGGCAGAUUCAAAUCUGCACGAUCCACGUUUUCACGAUUUCCUGCUCCGAGUAGGUGGUUAAAAGUAAUCCUGAACACUUGUUUCCAUGUGUUUUUUUUGCCCCUUGCAUUCAGGCGUCUUCUCUUGUAAAUAUGUAGCUAAUAAUAAACCAGACAUGCUUUUGUG